Quercus robur (English oak) is the source of this 269-nucleotide long non-coding RNA. RefSeq lists it as uncharacterized. The record is from RefSeq and is a predicted model, not a curated record. NCBI's taxonomy places the organism in Eukaryota, Viridiplantae, Streptophyta, Magnoliopsida, Fagales, Fagaceae. The transcript has 2 exons.
AUGGAUGGGAAGGUUAAAGUCAGCAAGUAAGCCCAGUAUCUUUGCAACAAUGGCUAAACUAUUGCUUGUAAACUCAGUUGAGUUUUUCGUGGCUAUCUUCAUAUAAUCAAGAACCGUGGAAUUGAGGUCUUGGAGAGAGUCCAAGCAGGUCUCUUGGUCAGUGAUUGUAGUGCUUAGCCAUGUCUUUAUAUCAUUGAUUUUAGCCGAGGACAACAGCUUAUCAUCUGAUCCAACUUCCAUGGAAGAUAUAGAGUCAUUGAGUCUAUCCA